Molecule: long non-coding RNA, 1634 nt
Organism: Ceratina calcarata
Lineage: Eukaryota; Metazoa; Arthropoda; Insecta; Hymenoptera; Apidae
Exons: 2
Source: RefSeq, a predicted model, not a curated record
GAAGUCGCCCCCGCCGCCGACGACGUCGGCCGCGUCGCUACGCGCCGCGCCUGCUUACCGGCGCAUAAAUCAGAAUUAUUACGAAGCUAUUAGCGUGCCGUGGUAACACCGGUACGUGUCCUUCGUGCCGCGGGAAGGUAGUGCACUCUCGUCGAGCCACCCCUACGUCUGCGUUCCUGCAACGGUUUAGCGCUAUAGUCUCAACACCCCUGCUCAUAAUCUACGGCUCGCCGUCUGUGGUGUAUUUGCGUGCACGCACAACGCAACUGGGCAAACCGCGAGCUAUGCCGUAUUGCAUUAAUCUUUGUCACCGCUUUCGCUCGGACCUUGCACUUUAAGUUGGCCAAAACCGAGCCGAGUUAAUUGCAACAACAGUACGGCAAACAAUGGAGAUCAGCUGCUUAAAAAUAUCUGAAGAAACGACCGGAACGAUUUUAAGUAACUUUUAUUUAUACUAUUCCGUUGAAUAGUCUGGAUCACUUGGACACGAUUUCAAGUCAUUCUUUAUCAACGACAACCUCGAAUUAGACGACUCCAAACCGACGAUUAAUAAAAGUUGGCCAACAAAAUGCUUUGUAGCUGAGAAGCCAAUAAUUUCGACGCGUGAUCGAUUCGGCAAGAUAGUAACUAAUAACGUGCGAAGCCCGGCACGUAAUCAUUGUCAUCUAUAGACAUGUAAAUUAUGCAGUCGGAUAUAAACGUCAAUAUGACAGCCGGAGACUGGCCGAGGCUACAGUCCUUUGCGAACCUCUAUUGCCCGUUCGGUCAAAGUGAAAUUAUUAGUUUGCUUAAAUCAAUGCGCGCGUAAACGUCCGAGUUAUUUAUGCUCCGUCAUUACGGAGACCUUCACGGCUCGAAAUCUUGUCUACCGCUUGGCCACCCUCUCGCUUCCCUUUUCUGAGUCCUGAGGUGUUCUUGGCACAGGUUACUCGUUUACGCCCACUUGAGAAUAAAAUGUCGAUUGCUUUUAUUAUUCUCAUUAUUUAGAAUAUCUGCAUUUAACAUCAAAAGAAGUAUAAAUAAUAAAUAUCCGUAGUUCUCCGACUUUAAUCAGUGUUAACUAAAUAUACAUAAAGUACAAGUUUAUUUCAUAAGCGUGGGAUGUAUCGGAACUCUUCAGAUAGAUCUCUGUCUCGUUGUCUUUAAUAGUACGCGCUCCCAUUAUAAAUACAUGGCAAUUGAUUUAGUGAUAAAACGGGAAUAACUCUAAAAUAUAACGGUUAACGUUGCGCUUAACGCCAUCAUCGGAAGUAUCCCGUAAAUCAUGGAUACUAACGAAACAGCUCGCGGAGCACGAAUACGAACUCAACGAAGCUCGGACUCGACCGAAGUACACGCAUUAACUGGCGCGGUGACUCGAAUUAUCGAAUUUCCAGACAUGUCUCAACGAAUGUUUCUCUUCAGGAUUUACUGCCGAGUGAAUGUACUCGGCGAUCACCGGACUACACUUAAAACGGCGUGAACCGUCUUCUAACCGCAAUCCCGAGAAUUUUCCGUCCGUUGCGUAGGAUCCACCGAGGAGCACGCGUCACGCUCGCGACACAGUUGAACCACGUGCACCGCGAAGAACCACGACUGUUACUUUACUAAUCUACAGAACAACAUGUAAUAAAAUCGCGUUAGUUGAUGCCGAA